Molecule: ribosomal RNA, 460 nt
Filed under: uncultured bacterium
Lineage: Bacteria
Description: partial 16S ribosomal RNA
Rfam family: Bacterial small subunit ribosomal RNA
Source: RNAcentral
CCUACGGGUGGCAGCAGUGAGGAAUAUUGGUCAAUGGACGAGAGUCUGAACCAGCCAAGUAGCGUGAAGGAUGACUGCCCUAUGGGUUGUAAACUUCUUUUAUAUGGGAAUAAAAUGUUCCACGUGUGGGAUUUUGUAUGUACCAUAUGAAUAAGGAUCGGCUAACUCCGUGCCAGCAGCCGCGGUAAUCCGGAGGAUCCGAGCGUUAUCCGGAUUUAUUGGGUUUAAGGGGAGCGUAGGUGGAUUGUUAAGUCAGUUGUGAAAGUUUGCGGCUCAACCGUAAAAUUGCAGUUGAAACUGGCAGUCUUGAGUACAGGAGAGGUGGGCGGAAUUCGUGGUGUAGCGGUGAAAUGCUUAGAUAUCACGAAGAACUCCGAUUGCGAAGGCAGUUCACUGGACUGCAACUGACACUGAGGCUCGAAAGUGUGGGUAUCAAACAGGAUUAGAUACCCUUGUAGUC